AACGAACGCUGGCGGCAUGCCUAACACAUGCAAGUCGAACGAGAUCUUCGGGUCUAGUGGCGCACGGGUGCGUAACGCGUGGGAAUCUGCCCUUUGGUUCGGAAUAACAGUUGGAAACGACUGCUAAUACCGGAUGAUGACGAAAGUCCAAAGAUUUAUCGCCAGAGGAUGAGCCCGCGUAGGAUUAGCUAGUUGGUGUGGUAAAGGCGCACCAAGGCGACGAUCCUUAGCUGGUCUGAGAGGAUGAUCAGCCACACGGGGACUGAGACACGGCCCAGACUCCGACGGGAGGCAGCAGUGGGGAAUAUUGGACAAUGGGCGAAAGCCUGAUCCAGCAAUGCCGCGUGAGUGAUGAAGGCCUUAGGGUUGUAAAGCUCUUUUACCCGGGAUGAUAAUGACAGUACCGGGAGAAUAAGCUCCGGCUAACUCCGUGCCAGCAGCCGCCGUAA
This 449-nucleotide ribosomal RNA is filed under the name uncultured bacterium. Its description in RNAcentral is "partial 16S ribosomal RNA". It matches the Rfam family "Bacterial small subunit ribosomal RNA", at positions 29 to 523 of the family's 1533-position model. The record is from RNAcentral.